RNAcentral lists this ribosomal RNA (166 nucleotides) under Achillea absinthoides. Its description in RNAcentral is "5.8S ribosomal RNA". It matches the Rfam family "5.8S ribosomal RNA". Rfam says of the family: 5.8S ribosomal RNA (5.8S rRNA) is a component of the large subunit of the eukaryotic ribosome. It is transcribed by RNA polymerase I as part of the 45S precursor that also contains 18S and 28S rRNA. Functionally, it is thought that 5.8S rRNA may be involved in ribosome translocation. Lineage: Eukaryota; Viridiplantae; Streptophyta; Magnoliopsida; Asterales; Asteraceae. The record is from RNAcentral.
UACAAACGACUCUCGGCAACGGAUAUCUCGGCUCACGCAUCGAUGAAGAACGUAGCAAAAUGCGAUACUUGGUGUGAAUUGCAGAAUCCCGUGAACCAUCGAGUUUUUGAACGCAAGUUGCGCCCGAAGCCUUUUGGCCGAGGGCACGUCUGCCUGGGCGUCACGU